RNAcentral lists this ribosomal RNA (1388 nucleotides) under Chryseobacterium sp. OS7. RNAcentral describes it as "bacterial SSU rRNA". It matches the Rfam family "Bacterial small subunit ribosomal RNA". The record is from RNAcentral. Lineage: Bacteria; Pseudomonadati; Bacteroidota; Flavobacteriia; Flavobacteriales; Weeksellaceae.
ACAUGCAAGCCGAGCGGUAUGGAUCUAUUCGGGAUCCAGAGAGCGGCGUACGGGUGCGGAACACGUGUGCAACCUGCCUUUAUCAGGGGGAUAGCCUUUCGAAAGGAAGAUUAAUACCCCAUAAUAUUUAGAAUGGCAUCAUUUUAAAUUGAAAACUCCGGUGGAUAGAGAUGGGCACGCGCAAGAUUAGAUAGUUGGUGAGGUAACGGCUCACCAAGUCUGCGAUCUUUAGGGGGCCUGAGAGGGUGAUCCCCCACACUGGUACUGAGACACGGACCAGACUCCUACGGGAGGCAGCAGUGAGGAAUAUUGGACAAUGGGUGCGAGCCUGAUCCAGCCAUCCCGCGUGAAGGACGACGGCCCUAUGGGUUGUAAACUUCUUUUGUAUAGGGAUAAACCUACCCUCGUGAGGGUAGCUGAAGGUACUAUACGAAUAAGCACCGGCUAACUCCGUGCCAGCAGCCGCGGUAAUACGGAGGGUGCAAGCGUUAUCCGGAUUUAUUGGGUUUAAAGGGUCCGUAGGCUGAUGUGUAAGUCAGUGGUGAAAUCUCACAGCUUAACUGUGAAACUGCCAUUGAUACUGCAUGUCUUGAGUGUUGUUGAAGUAGCUGGAAUAAGUAGUGUAGCGGUGAAAUGCAUAGAUAUUACUUAGAACACCCAUUGCGAAGGCAGGUUACUAAGCAACAACUGACGCUGAUGGACGAAAGCGUGGGGAGCGAACAGGAUUAGAUACCCUGGUAGUCCACGCCGUAAACGAUGCUAACUCGUUUUUGGGUUUUCGGAUUCAGAGACUAAGCGAAAGUGAUAAGUUAGCCACCUGGGGAGUACGAACGCAAGUUUGAAACUCAAAGGAAUUGACGGGGGCCCGCACAAGCGGUGGAUUAUGUGGUUUAAUUCGAUGAUACGCGAGGAACCUUACCAAGGCUUAAAUGGGAAAUGACAGGUUUAGAAAUAGACUUUUCUUCGGACAUUUUUCAAGGUGCUGCAUGGUUGUCGUCAGCUCGUGCCGUGAGGUGUUAGGUUAAGUCCUGCAACGAGCGCAACCCCUGUCACUAGUUGCCAUCAUUAAGUUGGGGACUCUAGUGAGACUGCCUACGCAAGUAGAGAGGAAGGUGGGGAUGACGUCAAAUCAUCACGGCCCUUACGCCUUGGGCCACACACGUAAUACAAUGGCCGGUACAGAGGGCAGCUACACAGUGAUGUGAUGCAAAUCUCGAAAGCCGGUCUCAGUUCGGAUUGGAGUCUGCAACUCGACUCUAUGAAGCUGGAAUCGCUAGUAAUCGCGCAUCAGCCAUGGCGCGGUGAAUACGUUCCCGGGCCUUGUACACACCGCCCGUCAAGCCAUGGAAGUCUGGGGUACCUUGAAGUCGGUGACCGUAACAGGAGCU